GACCAGUAAAAUAAGUGAAAAAUGAAACAACUUUGAGCGGUGGAUCACUCGGCUCGUGCGUCGAUGAAGAGCGCAGCCAGC
This 81-nucleotide ribosomal RNA is filed under the name Reinia elegans. RNAcentral describes it as "partial 5.8S rRNA". The stretch from base 29 to 81 matches the Rfam family "5.8S ribosomal RNA", at positions 1 to 53 of the family's 154-position model. Rfam says of the family: 5.8S ribosomal RNA (5.8S rRNA) is a component of the large subunit of the eukaryotic ribosome. It is transcribed by RNA polymerase I as part of the 45S precursor that also contains 18S and 28S rRNA. Functionally, it is thought that 5.8S rRNA may be involved in ribosome translocation. Lineage: Eukaryota; Metazoa; Mollusca; Gastropoda; Stylommatophora; Clausiliidae. The record is from RNAcentral.